GGGUUGUGAGGUUAAGCGACUAAGCGUACACGGUGGAUGCCCUGGCAGUCAGAGGCGAUGAAGGGCGUGCUAAUCUGCGAUAAGCGCCGGUAAGGUGAUAUGAACCGUUAUAACCGGCGAUACCCGAAUGGGGAAACCCAGUGUGAYUCGUCACACUAUCAUUAACUGAAUCCAUAGGUUAAUGAGGCGAACCGGGGGAACUGAAACAUCUAAGUACCCCGAGGAAAAGAAAUCAACCGAGAUUCCCCCAGUAGCGGCGAGCGAACGGGGAGGAGCCCAGAGCCUGAAUCAGCAUGUGUGUUAGUGGAAGCGUCUGGAAAGGCGCGCGAUACAGGGUGACAGCCCCGUACACAAAAGCGCAUGUGCUGUGAGCUCGAUGAGUAGGGCGGGACACGUGGUAUCCUGUCUGAAUAUGGGGGGACCAUCCUCCAAGGCUAAAUACUCCUGACUGACCGAUAGUGAACCAGUACCGUGAGGGAAAGGCGAAAAGAACCCCGGCGAGGGGAGUGAAAAAGAACCUGAAACCGUGUACGGGGCGUUAAGUUGCAGGGUAUAGACCCGAAACCCGGUGAUCUAGCCAUGGGCAGGUUGAAGGUUGGGUAACACUAACUGGAGGACCGAACCGACUAAUGUUGAAAAAUUAGCGGAUGACCUGUGGCUGGGGGUGAAAGGCCAAUCAAACCGGGAGAUAGCUGGUUCUCCCCGAAAGCUAUUUAGGUAGCGCCUCGUGAAUUCAUCUCCGGGGGUAGAGCACUGUUUCGGCUAGGGGGCCAUCCCGGCUUACCAACCCGAUGCAAACUGCGAAUACCGGAGAAUGUUAUCACGGGAGACACACGGCGGGUGCUAACGUCCGUCGUGAAGAGGGAAACAACCCAGACCGCCAGCUAAGGUCCCAAAGUCAUGGUUAAGUGGGAAACGAUGUGGGAAGGCCCAGACAGCCAGGAUGUUGGCUUAGAAGCAGCCAUCAUUUAAAGAAAGCGUAAUAGCUCACUGGUCGAGUCGGCCUGCGCGGAAGAUGUAACGGGGCUAAACCAUGCACCGAAGCUGCGGCAGCGACACUGUGUGUUGUUGGGUAGGGGAGCGUUCUGUAAGCCUGYGAAGGUGKSYYGUGAGGSWUGCUGGAGGUAUCAGAAGUGCGAAUGCUGACAUAAGUAACGAUAAAGCGGGUGAAAAGCCCGCUCGCCGGAAGACCAAGGGUUCCUGUCCAACGUUAAUCGGGGCAGGGUGAGUCGACCCCUAAGGCGAGGCCGAAAGGCGUAGUCGAUGGGAAACGGGUUAAUAUUCCCGUACUUGGUGUUACUGCGAAGGGGGGACGGAGAAGGCUAUGUUGGCCGGGCGACGGUUGUCCCGGUUUAAGCGUGUAGGUGUGUGUUCCAGGUAAAUCCGGUUCACUUUAACACUGAGGCGUGACGACGAGGCACUACGGUGCUGAAGCAACAAAUGCCCUGCUUCCAGGAAAAGCCUCUAAGCAUCAGGUAACAUCAAAUCGUACCCCAAACCGACACAGGUGGUCAGGUAGAGAAUACCAAGGCGCUUGAGAGAACUCGGGUGAAGGAACUAGGCAAAAUGGUGCCGUAACUUCGGGAGAAGGCACGCUGACACGUAGGUGAAGUGAUUUACUCAUGGAGCUGAAGUCAGUCGAAGAUACCAGCUGGCUGCAACUGUUUAUUAAAAACACAGCACUGUGCAAACACGAAAGUGGACGUAUACGGUGUGACGCCUGCCCGGUGCCGGAAGGUUAAUUGAUGGGGUCAGCGCAAGCGAAGCUCCUGAUCGAAGCCCCGGUAAACGGCGGCCGUAACUAUAACGGUCCUAAGGUAGCGAAAUUCCUUGUCGGGUAAGUUCCGACCUGCACGAAUGGCGUAAUGAUGGCCAGGCUGUCUCCACCCGAGACUCAGUGAAAUUGAACUCGCUGUGAAGAUGCAGUGUACCCGCGGCAAGACGGAAAGACCCCGUGAACCUUUACUAUAGCUUGACACUGAACAUUGAGCCUUGAUGUGUAGGAUAGGUGGGAGGCUUUGAAGUGUGGACGCCAGUCUGCAUGGAGCCGACCUUGAAAUACCACCCUUUAAUGUUUGAUGUUCUAACGUGGACCCGUUACCCGGGUUGCGGACAGUGUCUGGUGGGUAGUUUGACUGGGGCGGUCUCCUCCUAAAGAGUAACGGAGGAGCACGAAGGUUGGCUAAUCCUGGUCGGACAUCAGGAGGUUAGUGCAAUGGCAUAAGCCAGCUUGACUGCGAGCGUGACGGCGCGAGCAGGUGCGAAAGCAGGUCAUAGUGAUCCGGUGGUUCUGAAUGGAAGGGCCAUCGCUCAACGGAUAAAAGGUACUCCGGGGAUAACAGGCUGAUACCGCCCAAGAGUUCAUAUCGACGGCGGUGUUUGGCACCUCGAUGUCGGCUCAUCACAUCCUGGGGCUGAAGUAGGUCCCAAGGGUAUGGCUGUUCGCCAUUUAAAGUGGUACGCGAGCUGGGUUUAGAACGUCGUGAGACAGUUCGGUCCCUAUCUGCCGUGGGCGCUGGAGAACUGAGGGGGGCUGCUCCUAGUACGAGAGGACCGGAGUGGACGCAUCACUGGUGUUCGGGUUGUCAUGCCAAUGGCACUGCCCGGUAGCUAAAUGCGGAAGAGAUAAGUGCUGAAAGCAUCUAAGCACGAAACUUGCCCCGAGAUGAGUUCUCCCUGAGACUUWRRGUCUCCUGAAGGAACGUUGAAGACGACGACGUUGAUAGGCCGGGUGUGUAAGCGCAGCGAUGCGUUGAGCUAACCGGUACUAAUGAACCGUGAGGCUUAACCUUACAACGCCGAAG
RNAcentral lists this ribosomal RNA (2804 nucleotides) under Salmonella enterica subsp. enterica serovar Enteritidis. RNAcentral describes it as "bacterial LSU rRNA". It matches the Rfam family "Bacterial large subunit ribosomal RNA". Lineage: Bacteria; Pseudomonadati; Pseudomonadota; Gammaproteobacteria; Enterobacterales; Enterobacteriaceae. The record is from RNAcentral.